RNAcentral lists this ribosomal RNA (787 nucleotides) under marine metagenome. Its description in RNAcentral is "bacterial SSU rRNA". It matches the Rfam family "Bacterial small subunit ribosomal RNA", at positions 388 to 1193 of the family's 1533-position model. The record is from RNAcentral.
GCAGCGAUGCCGCGUGAGUGAAGAAGGCCCUUGGGUUGUAAAGCUCUUUCGUCGGGGAAGAAAAUGACUGUACCCGAAUAAGAAGGUCCGGCUAACUUCGUGCCAGCAGCCGCGGUAAUACGAAGGGACCUAGCGUAGUUCGGAAUUACUGGGCUUAAAGAGUUCGUAGGUGGUUGAAAAAGUUAGUGGUGAAAUCCCAGAGCUUAACUCUGGAACUGCCAUUAAAACUUUUCAGCUAGAGUAUGAUAGAGGAAAGCAGAAUUUCUAGUGUAGAGGUGAAAUUCGUAGAUAUUAGAAAGAAUACCAAUUGCGAAGGCAGCUUUCUGGAUCAUUACUGACACUGAGGAACGAAAGCAUGGGUAGCGAAGAGGAUUAGAUACCCUCGUAGUCCAUGCCGUAAACGAUGUGUGUUAGACGUUGGAAAUUUAUUUUCAGUGUCGCAGGGAAACCGAUAAACACACCGCCUGGGGAGUACGACCGCAAGGUUAAAACUCAAAUGAAUUGACGGGGACCCGCACAAGUAGUGGAGCAUGUGGUUUAAUUCGAAGAUACGCGCAGAACCUUACCAACACUUGACAUGUUCGUCGCGACUCUAAGAGAUUAGAGUUUUCGGUUCGGCCGGACGAAACACAGGUGCUGCAUGGCUGUCGUCAGCUCGUGUCGUGAGAUGUUGGGUUAAGUCCCGCAACGAGCGCAACCCUCACUUUUAGUUGCCAUCAUUAAGUUGGGCACUCUGAAAGAACUGCCAGUGAUAAGCUGGAGGAAGGUGGGGAUGACGUCAAGUCCU